RNAcentral lists this ribosomal RNA (436 nucleotides) under uncultured bacterium. Its description in RNAcentral is "partial 16S ribosomal RNA". It matches the Rfam family "Bacterial small subunit ribosomal RNA", at positions 29 to 507 of the family's 1533-position model. The record is from RNAcentral.
AACGAACGCUGGCGGCAUGCCUAACACAUGCAAGUCGAACGAUGGUCUUCGGAUCAUAGUGGUGCACGGGUGCGUAACGCGUGGGAAUCUGCACUUGGGUUCGGAAUAACAGUUGGAAAAGACUGCUAAUAACGGAUGAUGUCGAUAAGACCAAAGAUUUAUCGCCCGAGGAUGAGCCCGCGUCGGAUUAGCUAGUUGGUGGGGUAAAGGCCUACCAAGGCGACGAUCCGUAGCUGGUCUGAGAGGAUGAUCAGCCACACUGGGACUGAGACACGGCCCAGACUCCUACGGGAUGCAGCAGUGGGGAAUAUUGGACAAUGGGCGCAAGCCUGAUCCAGCAAUGCCGCGUGAGUGAUGAAGGCCUUAGGGUUGUAAAGCUCUUUUACCCGGGAAGAUAAUGACUGUACCGGGAGAAUAAGCCCCGGCUAACUCCGUG